This 256-nucleotide ribosomal RNA is filed under the name Glomus sp. BSLA-1. RNAcentral's name for it is "partial 18S ribosomal RNA". It matches the Rfam family "Eukaryotic small subunit ribosomal RNA", at positions 624 to 886 of the family's 1831-position model. The record is from RNAcentral. Lineage: Eukaryota; Fungi; Glomeromycota; Glomeromycetes; Glomerales; Glomeraceae.
AAGCUCGUAGUUGAAUUUCGGGGUUAGUAGGUUGGUCAUGCCUCUGGUAUGUACUGGUCUCACUGAUUCCUCCUUCCUUAUGAACCGUAUGCCAUUAAUUUGGUGUUGCGGGGAAUUUGGACUGUUACUUUGAAAAAUUAGAGUGUUUAAAGCAAGCUAACGCUUGAAUACAUUAGCAUGGAAUAAUGAAAUAGGACGUUCGAUCUUAUUUUGUUGGUUUCUAGGAUUGACGUAAUGAUUAAUAGGGAUAGUUGGG